GACGAACGCUGGCGGCGUGCCUAAUACAUGCAAGUCGAGCGAAGUUUUUCCGGUGCUUGCACCGGAAAAACUUAGCGGCGAACGGGUGAGUAACACGUAAAGAACCUGCCUCAUAGACUGGGACAACUAUUGGAAACGAUAGCUAAUACCGGAUAAUAGCAUUAACUGCAUGGUUGAUGUUUAAAAGUUGGUUUUGCUAACACUAUGAGAUGGCUUUGUGGUGCAUUAGCUAGUUGGUGGGGUAAAGGCCUACCAAGGCGACGAUGCAUAGCCGACCUGAGAGGGUGAUCGGCCACACUGGGACUGAGACACGGCCCAGACUCCUACGGGAGGCAGCAGUAGGGAAUCUUCCGCAAUGGGCGAAAGCCUGACGGAGCAACGCCGCGUGAGUGAAGAAGGAUUUCGGUUCGUAAAGCUCUGUUGUUAGGGAAGAAUGAUUGUGUAGUAACUAUACACAGUAGAGACGGUACCUAACCAGAAAGCCACGGCUAACUACGUG
This 499-nucleotide ribosomal RNA is filed under the name uncultured bacterium. RNAcentral's name for it is "partial 16S ribosomal RNA". It matches the Rfam family "Bacterial small subunit ribosomal RNA", at positions 28 to 507 of the family's 1533-position model. The record is from RNAcentral.